This 350-nucleotide ribosomal RNA is filed under the name Fusicolla violacea. RNAcentral's name for it is "partial large subunit ribosomal RNA". It matches the Rfam family "Eukaryotic large subunit ribosomal RNA", at positions 273 to 625 of the family's 3401-position model. The record is from RNAcentral. Lineage: Eukaryota; Fungi; Ascomycota; Sordariomycetes; Hypocreales; Nectriaceae.
UUUGGGAAUGCUGCUCAAAAUGGGAGGUAUAUGUCUUCUAAAGCUAAAUACCGGCCAGAGACCGAUAGCGCACAAGUAGAGUGAUCGAAAGAUGAAAAGCACUUUGAAAAGAGGGUUAAAAAGUACGUGAAAUUGUUGAAAGGGAAGCGCCUAUGACCAGACUUGGGCCCGGUGAAUCAUCCAGCGUUCUCGGUGGUUCACUUUGCCGGGCACAGGCCAGCAUCAGUUUGUCUUGGGGGAAAAAGGCUUUGGGAAUGUGGCUCCCUCGGGAGUGUUAUAGACCAUUGCAUAAUACCCUGGGACGGACUGAGGUUCGCGCAUCGCAAGGAUGCAUACCAUUCCGCGCGAGG